This 779-nucleotide ribosomal RNA is filed under the name uncultured Neocallimastigales. RNAcentral's name for it is "partial large subunit ribosomal RNA". It matches the Rfam family "Eukaryotic large subunit ribosomal RNA", at positions 20 to 635 of the family's 3401-position model. Lineage: Eukaryota; Fungi; Neocallimastigomycota; Neocallimastigomycetes; Neocallimastigales. The record is from RNAcentral.
UACUAGAGUAGCACUCGCAUAUCAAUAAGCGGAGGAAAAGAAACUAACAAGGAUUCCCUUAGUAACGGCGAGUGAAGCGGGAAGAGCUCAAAUUUGAAAUCUUCAAGGUUUUACCUUGACGAAUUGUAGUUUAAAGAAGUGUUUUCUGUUGGAGUUUUGGUAAAAGUUCUUUGGAAUAGGACAUCAUAGAGGGUGAGAAUCCCGUAUUUGACCAUUACUUUCCAGCUGUGUGAUACACUUUCAAAGAGUCGGAUUGUUUGGGAAUGCAGUCCAAAAUGGGUGGUAAAUUCCAUCUAAAGCUAAAUAUUGGCGAGAGACCGAUAGCGAACAAGUACCGUGAGGGAAAGAUGAAAAGAACUUUGAAAAGAGAGUUAAACAGUACGUGAAAUUGUCAAAAGGGAAGCGUUUGACACCAGUGUUGUUUUCUCGAAAAUCAAUUAAAAAAGGCUGGAUUUUGUGUUGUAUUGACCUUUAAUCGCUUUCUUCACUUUUUUCAUGUCUUUUUUAAUGCACUUUUCGUUUAACAAGUCAACAUCAGUUUCUUUUGUUGUAAAAGGGUUCAUUGGAAGGUGGCUUUCUCUUCGGAGAAAGUGUUUAUAGCCUUUGUCCUCUGCAAUCGGAGAGAUUGAGGUCUGCAGCGUAGAUCCUUCGGGGUUAGAUACAUUUGUGCUAAGUUAUAGUCUUUUAUAGACAACUUGUUGACUAUGAUUGAAGUCUUGUAGCUUACUCGCUUAUGCUAUUUUACCUACGCUUAGGAUGUUGAAGAUGUAGCACAUCAU